GGGGAAUUUUCCGCAAUGGGCGAAAGCCUGACGGAGCAAUACCGCGUGAGGGAGGAAGGCUCUAGGGUUGUAAACCUCUUUUCUCAGGGAAGAACAAAAUGACGGUACCUGAGGAAUAAGCAUCGGCUAACUCCGUGCCAGCAGCCGCGGUAAUACGGAGGAUGCAAGCGUUAUCCGGAUUUAUUGGGCGUAAAGCGUCCGCAGGUGGCAGUUCAAGUCUGCUGUUAAAGGUCGGGGCUCAACCCCGAACAGGCAGUGGAAACUGAACAGCUAGAGUACGGUAGGGGCAGAGGGAAUUCCCAGUGUAGCGGUGAAAUGCGUAGAGAUUGGGAAGAACACCGGUGGCGAAAGCGCUCUGCUAGGCCGAAACUGACACUCAUGGACGAAAGCUAGGGGAGCGAAUGGGAUUAGAUACCCCAGUAGUCCUAGCCGUAAACGAUGGAUACUAGGCGUUGUGAGUAUCGACCCUCACAGUGUCGUAGCUAACGCGUUAAGUAUCCCGCCUGGGGAGUACGCGCGCAAGCGUGAAACUCAAAGGAAUUGACGGGGGCCCGCACAAGCGGUGGAGUAUGUGGUUUAAUUCGAUGCAACGCGAAGAACCUUACCAGGGCUUGACAUGUCGCGRAUUUCAGGGAAACUUGAGAGUGCCUUCGGGAGCGCGAACACAGGUGGUGCAUGGCUGUCGUCAGCUCGUGUCGUGAGAUGUUGGGUUAAGUCCCGCAACGAGCGCAACCCUCGUUUUUAGUUGCCAGCAUUAAGUUGGGCACUCUAGAGAGACUGCCGGUGACAAACCGGAGGAAGGUGGGGAUGACGUCAAGUCAGCAUGCCCCUUACGUCCUGGGCUACACACGUACUACAAUGCUACGGACAAAGGGCAGCAAGUUAGCGAUGACAAGCAAAUCCCAUAAACCGUGGCUCAGUUCAGAUUGCAGGCUGCAACUCGCCUGCAUGAAGGUGGGAAUCGCUAGUAAUUGCAGGUC
Molecule: ribosomal RNA, 980 nt
Filed under: uncultured cyanobacterium
Lineage: Bacteria; Bacillati; Cyanobacteriota
Description: bacterial SSU rRNA
Rfam family: Bacterial small subunit ribosomal RNA
Source: RNAcentral